This 265-nucleotide ribosomal RNA is filed under the name uncultured bacterium. RNAcentral describes it as "partial 16S ribosomal RNA". It matches the Rfam family "Bacterial small subunit ribosomal RNA", at positions 524 to 792 of the family's 1533-position model. The record is from RNAcentral.
GACAGAGGGUGCGAGCGUUAUCCGGAAUCACUGGGCGUAAAGCGUGUGUAGGCGGAGCAGUAAGUCGGGGGUAAAAUCUCCAUGCUCAACGUGGAGCUUGUUCCCGAAACUACUGUUCUUGAAGCAUUCAGAGGCAAGCGGAAUUCUGUGUGUAGGGGUAAAAUCCGUAGAUACGCGGAGGAACGCCAAAAGCGAAAGCAGCUUGCUGGGCAUGUCUUGACGCUGAGACACGAAAGCGUGGGGAGCAAACAGGAUUAGAACCGUA